AACCCUGAGACCAACCCUGCCGAUGAAGUCUUGCUUCUGAAGCGGGAAGAGAGAGAGGAAAAACAAAAACAAAAACAAAAAACAAAAAAAUGGCACCAGCCAAGAAGGGCAAGGCCAAGGCCAAGGCCAACCCGGCCGAGUCAACUCAGCCCGUAAACCCCAACAACAAUUUCCCAACCUCUAUUCGGUACAUACCUCCCUCCUCAGUCGCCAUAACCAUACACGCCAAGCCUGGUUCCAAAAUCGCCUCCAUCACUGAUUUCAGUGAUGAGGCGUUGGGGGUGCAAAUAGACGCGCCUGCGAAGGACGGGGAAGCUAAUGCAGCCCUACUCGACUACAUCAGCUCGGUUUUAGGGGUAAAAAGAAGGCAGGUUUCUAUUGGUUCUGGCUCCAAAUCAAGAGACAAGGUUGUUAUUGUGGAGGAGAUGACUCUACAAAGUGUUUUUGACAUCCUGGACAAAGCUUCGAAGUCCACCUAAUAGAGUGAGAGAUGAAUUUGAUCCUUGAAUGAGACGUGAAGCUUGAUUGUACUGUAGCAGCUAACUGAGUCGCUUGUGUUUAUUGGAAAUUGUCUUGUUGAUGUUCCAGGUAAGGCACAUUCUUACGUUCCCCACCUUAGUUAAUAUAAAUUUAGUACAUUGGAUUUGUUCUUAUUGGUCCUCUUUAGCUCCCUUUCAUUUUGGGGGGGAAAAAAAAAGUUGGAACUGGUGUGAAAAAACGAUAACAUUCUUCUUGUACAAGAAUUGUAUGGAAACCAUCUAGUUUAGAUUAUUUUAAACUAAAUGCUGAGGCAUGUCUGUAAUAUGGUCACGCUGCUACUGAUUUGUUAUUCAUAAUGACUCAAGGAAUGUAUGUAUUUUUUUUUUUUUUGGG
Molecule: RNA transcript, 873 nt
Organism: Prunus persica (peach)
Lineage: Eukaryota; Viridiplantae; Streptophyta; Magnoliopsida; Rosales; Rosaceae
Gene name: UPF0235 protein C15orf40
Exons: 4
Source: RefSeq, a predicted model, not a curated record